RNAcentral lists this long non-coding RNA (748 nucleotides) under Equus caballus (horse). Its description in RNAcentral is "lncRNA (ENSECAG00000054438.1)". Lineage: Eukaryota; Metazoa; Chordata; Mammalia; Perissodactyla; Equidae. The record is from RNAcentral.
CUGGCCCUGACAGUGGAUCCCUGGGUGUUGAGAAGUGCCUAAGAACGUUAGGGUGCUCUUGCCCUGCAUUUAAGGGGUGGCCCUUGAUUCCCUCCUUUGGAUUAUCAUCCUUCCUGAGUUGCAGGUCCUUCUAGUUGUGGCGUGUGGGAUGCACCUCAGAAUGGCUUGAUGAGUGGUGCCAUGUCCGCACCCAGGAUCUGAACUGGUGAAACCCUGGGCCACCAAAGUGGAGUGUGCAAACUUAACCAGUUGGCCACGGGGUGGCCCCCUCAUGAUUUAUCGGUAAUUGGUUUUGGGGGAGAGGGAGAAGAACAUAAAUGUGUUUCAGGGUCUUAUUAAAAGGUCUCAGGUGGAUCUUGUGAGCCAUCUUGUGUUUCAAGUCCAGCGUGCACGAUAUGACCAACCACCAAACGGCAGGAGUUAGUGAAAUCUCUGCCUCCAUCUUUCUCACCAUGGAAGUCUGGUGAGAUGUUAGCCACCAGUUGCUGCUGUAUUGGGGUGGAGAGGAAUCUCUCCUCAGUUAAGUGCGUUCUCUGGCCUCCUAAGGACACAUUUGUUCUAGAGACUGCCCUAACUCCGUCCUCAGGUGUAUUGCAGUUGUAACUCUGGAAGUGAGACUCCCGACCCUCCACUCCAGCACCUGAUCUUACAGAUUGUGUCUUGUGUUUGAAACUGAGUCCUGUUACUCUUGGCUCUGUCUGCUUCCUGGUUCCAAGAAAUAAAACGUGAGAAGGAAGGUGUUAGGCCC